UUCGAUUGGUUUCCGGAUCUGUCAGGAGGAUUCUUGGUAAUUCUCUAAUUGUGCUUCUAAUUGCUUUCUAAUUAUCUUUGUUCUUCAAUAUUAUGAAUAUGACUUUGUUCUACUUCAAUAUAUUGCUUAUGAUUUUGCUCUACUUGCUUAUAUUCAAGAUUAUAUUGUUCUUAGUUUAUCAUAGUUAUGUACUUGGCUUAGUUAGAUUGGAUCUAUAUACAUGCUUAGGAUCGUAUAGCGUUUAUCCAUCGGAUCCAUGGGUAAAUGAUAGAUAUUGUGUAGGCGUAGUGCUUAUACCGUAUUUAUCUGCGAUUGUACCCAAUAUGCCAGAUCGUGGGGUAGUUCGUGAUAGUGACAGCUUCAUUGAUUCUUAUAUAGUCCCCCUCUCGUGUAUUGGGCUGGCAGAGCAACAUUAUUACAGG
RNAcentral lists this long non-coding RNA (422 nucleotides) under Sorghum bicolor (sorghum). Its description in RNAcentral is "long non-coding RNA (SBIC_LNC015772)". Lineage: Eukaryota; Viridiplantae; Streptophyta; Magnoliopsida; Poales; Poaceae. The record is from RNAcentral.